Molecule: ribosomal RNA, 253 nt
Filed under: uncultured bacterium
Lineage: Bacteria
Description: partial 16S ribosomal RNA
Rfam family: Bacterial small subunit ribosomal RNA
Source: RNAcentral
UACAGAGGUCUCAACCGUUGUUCGGAUUCCUUGGGCGUAAAGGGUGCGUAGGCGGUCGCGUAAGUCAGGUGUGAAAUCUCAGGGCUCAACCCUGAAACUGCACUUGAUACUGCGUGGCUCGGGUACUGGAGAGGAGACUGGAAUUUACGGUGUAGCAGUGAAAUGCGUAGAUAUCGUAAGGAAGACCAGUGGCGAAGGCGAGUCUCUGGACAGUUACCGACGCUGAGGCACGAAGGUCAGGGGAGCAAACGGG